RNAcentral lists this long non-coding RNA (4842 nucleotides) under Xyrichtys novacula (pearly razorfish). The record is from RNAcentral. Lineage: Eukaryota; Metazoa; Chordata; Actinopteri; Labriformes; Labridae.
AGUGACCAAUGAGAACUGAUUACAAACCAUUUAACUGAACAAAAGUCACCUUCUGUUACACACAAGUUUAUCUGGAGAAAUAUUCAUGCAAUAUUCAUGAUGCUGCCUGGAAGUCCCAACACUUUAAUUCAUUCUCUACCAUCUCCAGAAACCAUGUCCUAACCAGCUUCACAGCCCCUUCCACUGAUGCUGACCCAUGUCCAUUUAGGUGGUUCACACUAGCUUACAUAUAAAUCCAAGGUGGUGUGAACCCUCUGCUUUUGUGUUUAAAAUUUCCUUUCAGAUUCAGAUUUAGAAUACUUGAUUAGUCCUGGAAGGACAAUUCAGUUUUACAAUCAACCCGUCCACAGAAGGGAAAGUUAUACUUUUAUGUAACCUAUAUAGGGUUCAAUAAGUUAUCAUGGAUUUGUUCAUCAAAAUGUCCUGAAUGUAUAAACAGUAAGUGCAGCAUCACCAAACAACCCUUUCUGCUGGCUUCAACAUCAAAUUUAAAAGUCUCUGAACACUAAGCUCUUACAGUUACACUGUCUUACUGUAUGUUUGUUUUCAGUGUAGCAGGAUGAUGUAUUUCAUCCUUGCUCCUGCACAUGUUGCCUGCUUCCUUGAAGCCUCCAUCAGCCAAUUACCUGAAGGGGGCACUCUAUAAAAGGGGGUAGUUGGACCCUCCCUCUCCCUCUUGCUCUGGCCUUUCCAUCACUUCCAGGUUGCCUUGCCUCUCGCAUCACGCGGCAGGUAAGAUAGCAGUGGCUGCUAACUAUGUUAACUGGGUGAUUAUUGUGCUUUGCUACCUCUGAUUCGACCUGUUUUCAGAUGCUUGAUGUUUGCUGUUCUCAUGCUGGUCACGGUGUAGAUCGCGGCAGACACCAGUGUAGCUGGGUCUGCACUCCUCUCGCUCCUCUCCCUCUCAGAUGAUCUUUUCACAUGGCCUGACCAGUAUGUAUGCCUUACGGCGAACCUGUACUUUCACUCUCUGCUCCUCCAACAUUAAUUAGAGUUUAUUAUGUUUGUGACAGGGGCUGUGUGUCCAGGUGUCUCCCUGGGGAACUCCAGCGGUGCAAGAUUGGUGAUAAGAUUACUGCAAGAUUACUGUAAGAAUUUGCAGCUUUGACGCUGCCUUAACGCUGCUUUGACGCUGCUCUGCCUCUGCUUUGCCUCGACCUGUGCUGCUCCCCCGCUGCUUGCCUGGCCGGGCGGCUGUGUGGCUGCUUUGACGUAGUGCUCCUACUUCUGUGCCUGCCUGCAGCUUCCUGCCUCUGCUCCCUUAUGGAUGUACAGCUCCUGGUGCUUUGCUGCUUUGCUGUUUUUUUUCUGCUGUUUUUUUUCUGCGGCUCUGAAAGUGAGGGGCUGGUCGCCGCAUAGAGGGACGCGGACAUGAAAUAAACUGUGGUUGGGCUGCACACAGGCUGGACUGGACCAGUGUAUUCAUGGUGUGCUGACGUCCUCAGCCCAAUUUUAAGGGAAUAGUUUUAAGGAAAGACAGUGUUACGGUGGGGUCACUUAAGUUCUUAGUUAAUUCAUUUUGUUUCUUUCCUUCAUUUGGUUUCCUGGUUUUCUUUUAUAAAUACUGGUUAUAUUUUUGGUCCUUUUGUUUUGAGUUCAUGGGGAAACAUUUUUUGAGUUAAAUUUGUUUCCAUGAAUUGAAUAAUUUCAUAUUUCGUUACAUCUUUUUUUUCCUUCCUUAUUUAGUUUAUUAGCUUAUUAUCCUCCUUUGGUUGAUUGGUAUGUUUUUGAUUAAUUAAGGGACAUCUUUUCUAAUUUACUUAUCGUUUUCUUUUUGUUUGUUCUAUUUUGGUUGUUCAUGAGUUGGGUUUUCUUGGCAGCAUAUGUGCUUUGCUUGAGCUAAUUCGUGGCUGCCACCCAUAAUAUUAGUAUUGUUUGUUAUUAUUUUGUAUAGGUAUUUUUAGUUAUUUUCUCUAUUUGAGUGUAACCCACUAACCCCCUUUUCUUUUGUCCCUUUCAGUUGCUGAGAGCUUGCAGUGGUGGUUCCUGGUGUCCUGGUGGUGGUUUCCCUCAUAUGGUGUGCUGUUUAUCCCCUGGGCUUUUGUUGUUUUCACCGAGUGAGUGUUCAUGUGAUUGCCAUGUGUGAUUGGGGUGUGAUUGGGGCCACUGGUGAGUCCCUGUUCUUCCUGAUGUAUGAUUGCCACGUGUGCUUGGGGUGCCUUUUCUUCUCUGGGUAGGGUUAGAUCUCUCCUUGGUAACUAUGUCUCUGUCUUUUCUGUCCAUGAUGGAGACUUGGGCUGCACAGACCUCAUAGCCCAUGACAUCCCCCUCCUGGAUAAUAUUCCAGUGAGGCAACGCUACAGGCGAAUUCCUCCAUCAGACUAUGAGGCUGUGAAGCAGCAUAUCAACCAGUUGCUUGAGGCUCAGAUCAUUAGGGAGAGUAGCAGUCCUUAUGCCUCUCCGAUUGUUCUUGUGAAGAAGAAAGACGGGACUUUGCGAAUGUGUGUUGACUAUCGGCAACUGAACAGCAAGACCAGGAAGGAUGCUUUUCCUCUACCACGCAUUGAAGAGUCUCUUGAUGCUCUAAUGAAUGCCAAAUGGUUUUCCACGCUGGACCUUGCCAGCGGAUACAAUCAGGUUCCUGUAGCAGAGAAUGAUUGUGCCAAAACUGCCUUUUGCACCCCCUUUGGGUUGUUCGAAUGGAACCGCAUGCCCUUUGGACUUUGCAACGCUCCUGGCACCUUCCAGCGACUCAUGCAGCGGCUGUUUGGGGUCCAACAAUGUUGAUCCUUACUCCUCUAUCUGGAUGACAUUAUCGUCUUUUCUUUCACCAUCGAACAGCACUUGGAGAGGUUGGGUUAAGUGUUGGAAUGGUUGCGUUCCGAGAAUCCGAAGGUGAAGCUUGCAAAGUGUGCCUUUUUCCAGCAACAGGUGCAGUAUUUGGGUCAUGUGGUUUCGGACAAAGGGCGCUCCACUGAUCCAAGUAAGGUCGAAGUGGUUGCUAUCUGGCCAUCUCCCUCUACAGUUUCUGACCUGCAAUCAUUUCUCCCUUCCUUUUGUCCUGGAAGUUGAUGCCAGCUAUGGUGGUCUUGGAGCUGUGCUUACACAGGAGCAAGGUGGGAAGGUAAGACCAAUAGCUUAUGCCAGCUGUGGUCUAAGGCCCACUGAGCGCAACAUGGUCAACUACAGCUCCAUGAAACUGGAGUUUGUGGCGCUCAAGUGGGCCAUGACAGAAAAAUUCAAGAAGUAUCUCCUUGGUAACAAGUGUGUGGUCUACACCGACAACAACCUGCUUAGCCAUUUGUCCACUGCUAAGCUUGGUAUCACUAAACAGCGUUGGGCUGCCCAGUUGGCAUCUCCUGAUUUCGUGAUCAGGUACCGCUCAGGGCGGAGCAACCAAAACGCUGAUGCGUCGUCCUACCAGUAUACACCUGGAGUUCAAGACACCGAAACCAUGCUCCCUGGGACUUCUCUUACUCAUCCUUUACAGCAGGCACUCAAGGUGAAAAAGGCUGAAGUGACACAAUCAGCUGUGCUGGCUCUCCUGUACCAUUCUCAGUCAGACAUCAGUGCACUCCAGCAAGCUGACCCUGUUCUACAAGAGCUCCUUGUCUUCUGGCAACAGAAGAGGCAUCCUGAUAGGGAGGAGUGCAAACAGCUAUCUCGGCCUGUUUAAGCACUACUGCGCCAAUGGGACCAUUUGGUGGAGCGUGAUGGGGUCCUCCUGAUGGUGGCGAGGCAGUUCCUCAGUUGCUCCUGCCUGCUGCCUUGAAAGAGGAGGUUUUAACUGAGGUCUACCAGAGGCAUGGCCACCAAGGUGUCGGAAGGACCCUGGAGCUUCUCCGGCAACGUUGUUAUCGGCCUGGUAUGACCUCUGAAGUGGAAAGUUGGUGUCAGACAUGUGAGAGAUGUCAGGUUGCUAAGAAUUCCCAACAUCCUGUUCGUAGUCUCAUGGGGCACCUGUUGGCUUCCAAGACAAAUGAGAUACUUGCCAUGGACUACACUGUGCUUGAACCCACCUAUAAGAGGGUUGAAAAUGUCUUGGUGUUAACUGACGUCUUUAGUAAGUACACACUGGCUGUCCCUACAUGGGACCAACGGGCUUCCACUGUGGCCCAAGUUCUGGUUGUGGAGUGGUUCUCAAAGUUUGGUGUACCUGCCCAAAUCCUUUUGGACCAAGGCCGCAACUUUGAGAGCGCUUUGAUCCAACAACUUUGUGCCCUUUAUGACAUCAAAAAGUCUCACAUAGUUCCGUACCAUCCUGCUGGAAAUGGUCUGUGUGAGCCGUUCAACUGGACUCUUCAUGACUUGCUGUGCACUCUGCCGGUGUCUUGGAAGCGAGACUGGAGCUCCUGCUUGCCACAGUUGCUAUAUUCUUAAUAAUAAUAAUAAUAAUAAUGCAUCAGAUUUCAUAUAGCGCUUUAUCAGAGACCCUCAAAGCGCUUUACAUUGGAUACAUCAUUCAUUCGCUCACACAGUCACACUUUGGUGGUGGUGGAAACGUGGCUGCCAUUCUGCGCCUACGGCCUCUCCGACCACCACCACACAACACUCACAAUCAUACACCAGUGGAGGACACACACUGGGAGCAAGGUGGGUUAAGUGUCUUGCCCAAGGACACAACGGACAGACUUGGAUUAGGGGGGAAUCGAACCGCCAACCUUCUGGUCAUUGGACGACCGCUCUACCUCCUGAGCUACUGCCGCCCCGGCAGUAGUCUUAUAAUACCACCCCUCAUCAGGCCACUGGUGAGUCCCUGUUCUUCCUGAUGUAUGAUUGCCACGUGUGCUUGGGGUGCCUUUUCUUCUCUGGGAUCCCCCACAUCCCGUCCCUAGAUCCAUUUCCAUUUGGUAAGCCUCAGCACCUGAAAAAGGGCUCACCUCCCCUAUUUGUGUGUGUGUG